RNAcentral lists this ribosomal RNA (335 nucleotides) under uncultured soil bacterium. Its description in RNAcentral is "bacterial SSU rRNA". It matches the Rfam family "Bacterial small subunit ribosomal RNA", at positions 26 to 383 of the family's 1533-position model. The record is from RNAcentral.
AGAGCGAACGCUGGCGGCAGGCCUAACACAUGCAAGUCGAACGAACUCUUCGGAGUUAGUGGCGGACGGGUGAGUAACACGUGGGAACGUGCCUUUAGGUUCGGAAUAACUCAGGGAAACUUGUGCUAAUACCGAAUGUGCCCUUCGGGGGAAAGAUUUAUCGCCUUUAGAGCGGCCCGCGUCUGAUUAGCUUGUUGGUGGGGUAAUGGCCCACCAAGGCUACGAUCAGUAGCUGGUCUGAGAGGAUGACCAGCCACAUUGGGACUGAGACACGGACCCAAACUCCUACGGGAGGCAGCAGGUGGGGAAUCGUUGCGCAAGUGGGGACGAAAGCC